AAACCAACCGGGAUUGCCUCAGUAACGGCGAGUGAAGCGGCAAAAGCUCAAAUUUGAAAUCUGGCACUUUCAGUGUCCGAGUUGUAAUUUGUAGAAGUAGUUUUGGGACUGGUCCUUAUCUAUGUUUCUUGGAACAGGACGUCAUAGAGGGUGAGAACCCCGUAUGAUGAGGCCCCCAGUCCUUUGUAAAACGCUUUCGAAGAGUCGAGUUGUUUGGGAAUGCAGCUCUAAGUGGGUGGUAAAUUCCAUCUAAAGCUAAAUAUUGGCGAGAGACCGAUAGCGAACAAGUACAGUGAUGGAAAGAUGAAAAGAACUUUGAAAAGAGAGUGAAAAAGUACGCGAAAUUGUUGAAAGGGAAGGGCAUUUGAUCAGACAUGGUGUUUUGCGCCCUUUGCUCCUUGUGGGCGGAGGAUACGCAGCUCACUGGGCCAACAUCAGUUUUGGGAGCAGGAUAAACUCUGUAGGAACGUAGCUUUCUUCGGGAAGUGUUAUAGCCUACGGGAAUACUGCUACCUGGGA
This 519-nucleotide ribosomal RNA is filed under the name uncultured Hanseniaspora. RNAcentral describes it as "eukaryotic LSU rRNA". It matches the Rfam family "Eukaryotic large subunit ribosomal RNA", at positions 62 to 586 of the family's 3401-position model. The record is from RNAcentral. Lineage: Eukaryota; Fungi; Ascomycota; Saccharomycetes; Saccharomycodales; Saccharomycodaceae.